Molecule: long non-coding RNA, 426 nt
Filed under: Hordeum vulgare
Lineage: Eukaryota; Viridiplantae; Streptophyta; Magnoliopsida; Poales; Poaceae
Description: long non-coding RNA (HVUL_LNC017628)
Source: RNAcentral
CAUCGUUAUGAUCUCUUGUUUGAUACAUUGACAGAAUAGGGAUUAGAAUUAGCUGAUCAUGGAUUACAAGAAUACACAUUUUAUGUAAUUUUAAGAUUCGUGUAAACUUUUAAGAGAAUUGUACUGAAGCAGAACUCAACAUCCAUAUGGUUUACUAUGUCUGAUAAUUACAUAGUUGUAAAAUAUUUAUGAAAUAUAAAUAUAAUAUAAAAUGGAAAUUAUCAUGCAUAUUUACAUGUUGAGGUGUGUUUUUUCACAUGCAUAAUUGCAUGCUGCGGUGAACAUUUUCUCAUGGAUGUUGCAUGAUGAGGUGGCAUGCUUGCGUGUAGAAAGAAAACGGGUUCAUGGAGGCUAGCUAUUUAGAUAUAAAGCAUAAAAGAUGUGGCUUCUAGUUUCAUAUAGGAGGAAGCGUUUGCCAUCGUCGAC